RNAcentral lists this ribosomal RNA (808 nucleotides) under uncultured bacterium. RNAcentral's name for it is "bacterial SSU rRNA". It matches the Rfam family "Bacterial small subunit ribosomal RNA", at positions 8 to 811 of the family's 1533-position model. The record is from RNAcentral.
AGAGUUUGAUCCUGGCUCAGAUUGAACGCUGGCGGCAGGCCUAACACAUGCAAGUCGAGCGGUAGAGAGAAGCUUGCUUUUCUUGAGAGCGGCGGACGGGUGAGUAAUGCCUAGGAAUCUGCCUGGUAGUGGGGGAUAACGUUCGGAAACGGACGCUAAUACCGCAUACGUCCUACGGGAGAAAGCAGGGGACCUUCGGGCCUUGCGCUAUCAGAUGAGCCUAGGUCGGAUUAGCUAGUUGGUGAGGUAAUGGCUCACCAAGGCGACGAUCCGUAACUGGUCUGAGAGGAUGAUCAGUCACACUGGAACUGAGACACGGUCCAGACUCCUACGGGAGGCAGCAGUGGGGAAUAUUGGACAAUGGGCGAAAGCCUGAUCCAGCCAUGCCGCGUGUGUGAAGAAGGUCUUCGGAUUGUAAAGCACUUUAAGUUGGGAGGAAGGGCAGUAAAUUAAUACUUUGCUGUUUUGACGUUACCGACAGAAUAAGCACCGGCUAACUCUGUGCCAGCAGCCGCGGUAAUACAGAGGGUGCAAGCGUUAAUCGGAAUUACUGGGCGUAAAGCGCGCGUAGGUGGUUUGUUAAGUUGGAUGUGAAAUCCCCGGGCUCAACCUGGGAACUGCAUUCAAAACUGACUGACUAGAGUAUGGUAGAGGGUGGUGGAAUUUCCUGUGUAGCGGUGAAAUGCGUAGAUAUAGGAAGGAACACCAGUGGCGAAGGCGACCACCUGGACUAAUACUGACACUGAGGUGCGAAAGCGUGGGGAGCAAACAAGAUUAGAUACCCUGGUAGUCCACGCCGUAAACGAUG